This 253-nucleotide ribosomal RNA is filed under the name uncultured bacterium. RNAcentral's name for it is "partial 16S ribosomal RNA". It matches the Rfam family "Bacterial small subunit ribosomal RNA", at positions 524 to 776 of the family's 1533-position model. The record is from RNAcentral.
UACGUAGGGUGCGAGCGUUGUCCGGAAUUAUUGGGCGUAAAGGGCUCGUAGGCGGUUUGUCGCGUCGGGAGUGAAAUCCACUGGCUUAACUGGUGGCUUGCUUUCGAUACGGGCAGACUGGAGGUAUGCAGGGGAGAACGGAAUUCCUGGUGUAGCGGUGAAAUGCGUAGAUAUCAGGAGGAACACCGGUGGUGUAGACGGCUUACUGGACCACGACUGACACUGAGGCACGAAAGCGUGGGGAGCAAACAGG